AAAAGAGGAGAUAAUAACAACGAAUUCUUCAAGUCUUAAGGGACAAGGUUUAAGUUGUGAGGGAAAUAAUUUUGGGAAAGAAAUUACAAAGCUGUAGUCUUUAUUUGGCGUCAAGGAGUGAAACCUGAAAACUUUAAAUACAUUGAUUUUAAUUUGUCUAUCAUUUUAGUGCCCUGAACUUUUUACAGACUUCAUAUCAAAUAGGUAAGGAGGGUGGCAGGGAAGACGCUCUGGAGGAAUGUAACAGCUCAUAAGAUUUUUGAGCAAGGAUAGCACGAGUGAUGGCUCUUAUACCAUAAUAAUUGAUUAAAAAACUACAAAUCGAUGGUUGAACUUAGAUACCUUGCAUCUCAAUCAGGACAUUUCAAAUUGUAUUAGAAGAAAAACAAACCUAGGUAUACCUAGAUGGAAAUUUUCUCAGACAGAGACACGAUAUUGAAAAUGCUCAAGACAUUAACUUGACUAUUCCUUCAAUUGCUGGCUUCCAGUUUCUCACAUUUGAAUAAAUGUGCAUAAUCUCCUCUCAUCACAAUUGGAAUGACUCGCCCAUGUAACUCAUUGGUUAUCUCCUACCUGUUACAACAUUGUCAUGGGUUUGAAAGCAGCUGUCCAAGCUCUUCAGUAAGUUGAUUUCUUCCCAAAACAUUUAAAAUAGUUCUCAAGCAAAGUCAUUCAUUUUAAAGCUAUUGUCAAAUGAGUAUAUCGACGGCGUAAGUCCGC
RNAcentral lists this long non-coding RNA (720 nucleotides) under Bemisia tabaci. Its description in RNAcentral is "lncRNA ENSASIAIIG009182". Lineage: Eukaryota; Metazoa; Arthropoda; Insecta; Hemiptera; Aleyrodidae. The record is from RNAcentral.